RNAcentral lists this ribosomal RNA (468 nucleotides) under uncultured bacterium. Its description in RNAcentral is "partial 16S ribosomal RNA". It matches the Rfam family "Bacterial small subunit ribosomal RNA", at positions 28 to 507 of the family's 1533-position model. The record is from RNAcentral.
GACGAACGCUGGCGGCGUGCUUAACACAUGCAAGUCGAACGGACAGGCCCUGCUUUUGCGGGGUGCUCGAGUGGCGCACGGGUGAGUAACACGUGAGUAACCUGUCCUUGACUUUGGGAUAUCUUCAGGAAACUGGGGCUCUUACCGGAUAGGAGCUCUUGCUGCAUGGUGGGGGUUGGUAAGUUUGGGCGGUUCGGGAUGGACUCGAGGGUCAUCAGCUUGUUGGUGGGGUAGUGGCUGACCAAGGCUGUGAAGGGUAGCCGGCCUGAGAGGGUGACCGGCCACAUUGGGACUGAGGUACGGCCCAGACUCCUACGUGACGCAGCAGUGGGGAAUAUUGCACAAUGGGCGGAAGCCUGAGGCAGCAACGCCGCGUGCGGGAUGACGUCCUUCGGGUGGUAAACCGCUUUCGCCUGUGACGAAGCGUGAGUGACGGUAAUGGGUAAAGAAGCACCGGCUAACUACGUG